AACUAUUUAGGAUUAAUGAAAUCUCUACAGCCUUAUCUAUGAAAUUUAAAUUGUUAAAGUAAGUAGUUGGAAUGUGUUCGGAUAACUCUAUAUCACGCCCUUCCCAAAAUUUUGUGAAUUCUUAUAAUGUGAAAGAUUACAAUUUCAAAGUCAAGUGAUUACACCUAAGAGCACCCUAUUCUUUAAACGAAGUGAGGUCUCAACAAAAGAUCUAAUUACAUAAUCUGUUGAUCAAAGGUAGCAUCCUCUUCAAGAUAUUCUCUUUAAACCGUUCAAGGCAGCCUGUCGUUUUGCCACUACUCAUUCUCUAGAAAUAGGACUUACAAUUUCUCGGCAAAAUUUGAAACAGUGGAAAUAACCAGCCUAUAAAUUAAUCUUUUUCCUCGCCAUAUGACGACAUACACCACCAUCACAAACACUCAGCUAACUACUCUACCUCUGCUGGAUUUAUUCUUAGCCCUAAAGUAUGUCCGUUAGAAUUUGUUUUGUCAUUUUCCAAUAUUUAUAUGUAUCCCAACCAGGCCAAUAUUCUUCUCCACACAUGCCAUGUAACAUAAUAGAAAAAAAAAAGGAAGAAAGAACGGAUGAUCAAAAGAUUCAGUACCUAUGCCGCAGAAUACACAAUCAAGUUGUACAUUUAUCCAAAAUCUCUGAAGUCUCUCCAUUGUAGCUAGUCUCUUGCAUUAUCACCAACCAAACAUUUAAGUGGUACAUUCAUUUUGUAAUCUUUAACAUAAACUUCUUGGAGUUAUAAAAAUAAAGUAUAUAAAAUUUUAAAUAGUUUUGAUAAGACAUCAUAACUGGAAACUCCAACUUUUAGCUAUAAAUUCCAAACCUCAUCUAGAACACUUCAAGUUGUUCAUUAAUUUCAUCAAGUGUGGUGGAAGCUGUGACAUAAAAUAUUAUUAUAAUGUAACAACACUUUAUUAUUUGUGACACUCCAAAAUGUUUAAUAACUAUAAUAAUUCAUGAGGUAUUAUCCCAAAGAGGUUGAUUUUCCAAGCACGAGUCCUAAAGGACAAAUUCAUGAUCAUUAUCCUAAAAUGGCAAACAUAUGAACUUGAGUCUAAAAUGGCUAAAUCAGGCUAAAUCAUAAGCAUGAGCUUAACAAGGCUAACAUUCUUAUCAAUUAUCAAGAACUAAUAAAUAAGAUAACGUUAUGAGCAUAAGGGAGUUAAUUAGCUGACUGUGAAGGCAUAGGUUCAAAUGACAAAUGUCCGAAACUAUGUUUGCCGACAUAGGAUAGAGAUUAUUCCGCAAAUCGGAUGACUCUUUUUUUAUGUCUCCCGAAAAGGAGAUAACCAUGGAUACUUGCUAGCAAAUUAUGUCAUGUUAUGUUCUGCGCCCGACAAGGUAUGGGUUGGCUUAGCUGAUCGGGACGAGAUCAGAUUCCAUGCGCUCACAUGGUGGUUUAUGACGGUUCACUACUUUCUCUCAGAAAUAAUCAAAGGAAUUUAAAUCUUACCUUACUUGGUCAAUUAUAAAUUUUCCUUACAUUCUUGUUCAUUUCUAGAUGCCUUCGCUUAUAUUUGAAUUUUAUUGUUACUUCUAAUCUUUCGUUUUACUACCCUUCUGCAAUGGUUUUACAUACCAAUACAUUUUACGUAUUGACCAUUUUUUGGUGCUACAUCAUUUCAUGAUGUAGGUUCUGGCUCUCAAGUCCGCGUUCAUGUGCCUCAUUAGGAUUCCUAACUUUUGCUAUUGGUGAGCCUCUUUCCUACCUGGAGGCUGGAUGAGAUAUGAUGACUUUUUUUGUAUUUUCUUUUCUUUAAGUAUUAGUACUUAUUAGAGGCUUCAAAAGAUGGUGUAGUUGUCAAAAAAACUUUUUAAUUUCUAGUCUUUAUCAUGACUAUUAGUAUUGUAUAAAAUUAAGAGGUGUUAAUAAACAUUGAUGAUAAUAUUCCUUUAAGAAAUCUUAUUUCAAUCUCAUAUUGUUUCAGUUAUACUCUUUCGUGUUGGUUGUAUUCUCAUGUUUUAUGAUAGAACAUUCGCUCGUACUAACAAUAGUAUCGGGUGAAUGUCAUGUCUCGGGCCUCGGCUCGGGGCGUGACAAUAUUUGACCAAUAGAAUUGAUAGAGAGUUAUAUUUAUUGUGUUUUUUUUUUUGUGGUUCAGGUCCAAUCAAACAGAUUAGAUUAAGAUGUGUUUUAUUUUUAAAAAAUUAGUCAUUUAACAUAUUGGAUUUUUUUGUUAAAAGAAUAGUACAUGCGAAAAGUUUGUUAAUAACGAGUGUAAAUUUGACCUCAAAUUAUGAAAUCAAGAGAUUUAAACCUAAAGUAUGACGAAAUAUAUAUUUAGUCAAUUUUUCCAAGUAGAUGAGUAAAUUUGUCUACAAAAUAUCACAGCAAAAACAAAUUUUUAUGCUAAAGAAUAUAUUUGACCAAUUUUUCAAAAUCAAAAGGUAAAUUUGAUCCUUUUAUCUAAAAAAAAGGAACAUAACAUAUAAUUUAUAAACAAAUCCUUUAAUUUUGUCUCAACUCACAUCUACACCCUUCAAUUUUGGGUGUACAUAAAUAAACAUUUAAACUUGUAUAAUAUAAAUAAAUAAACAUUUAUUUUUGUGAGCCGCCGACGCUUGCUGCUAAAAUUUACGAUUUUGCUAAUGGUGGUUUAUUCUUUCCUUUAGGGGUCAUUUGGUUGAAAAAUAAGUUAUCACAGGAUUAUUAAUCUUGGGAUUAGCUAUUUUGAGAUUAGUUAUCCCAAUUUUAAGUAGGAAAAAGAAAAACACUGCAAUCCCGAAAUAAUUAAUUUCAGAAUGAGUUAUCCCAUGUAUUUUGUCCCAACCAAAUAUGGAAUAGACUCUUCUUUUAAAUUAAUCCCGAAAUUAAUUAUCCUUAUCCUUCCUACCAAAUGCCCCUUAGGAUUUUAGGUCCUUGCGUAGUGCCUCCACCCCACAGCAAAAAGAAAUGGACCAAACAAUUUUCUUCCUUCUUUCUUCUUUUUCUUUUGAUUUUUAUAUUUCUCAUAUUUCAAGCUUUUUCUAUUUUUUUUUAAUAUAAAAAAAGGGCAUAUUGAGGGCUCAUUUGGUACAAGCAAUAAGGAAUAACUAAUUUCGAGAGAAUAAGCUUAUCACAUGUUUGAUUGAGAUAAAAUGUAUGGGAUAACUUAUCCCAAUUUAGUUAACUUGGGAUUGUAGUGUUAUUGUUAUUCACCUUGAUGGUAGUAACUUUCCUUUGAUAAUUAAUCCCUGAAAAACUUAUUUCCCAAUCAAAUGACCCCGAAGUAGAUUUGUUUAUUUGACAUGCCUCACGGUUUAUGUGUUUAUUUUUACAUGCAAUAACAAAAAGUUCACCAAGAAUAUGAAAGAACUGGUGGAAUCUAUCGUCUAAAGUUGCCACUAAGUUUAGCUUACCAUCUAACUAGGCCUUGUUUAUUCUCAUGUAGGGCCUCGCUGGGUCAUUUUGAUAUUUUUUGUUAAUUUAGUACAUUGUCUGUGAAAAAUAAAACUUCUUCGUCUUCUCUCUUUAUCCCUAUCACCUACUCCACCAUGAAAAUCUUGAUGGAAAACCUUGCAAAACAUAGAACAACAAAGUUUUAAAAAUCAUCAUACUGAUUUUGAAAUUUUCUACAAGAACAUAAAAGAACAAGCGCACAAAAAAUUGAAACAAAAAUGAAGGAAAAUCCUUAUAAUCUCAGUUAGAACGUUGCAAGAAAAUUACUAUCGGCAAAAUAGUCCUCCAAACCUAAUCUAUAGCAAAAAAUAACAUAAUUAAAAUCUCAUAAAAACCAACCACAAAAAAGUGGAAAAAUAACAAAGAGAUGUGGAUCGUUCAGAAGGGACAAUGCCGCCAAGAAGAAAGGUGGAAUGGGGAAAGGUGGUUCAAAAGGAAUAACGUCGCCAGGAAAGAUAAGUUGGAUAGAGUGUAGAACUGUAACACCGCAAAAAUCUCUAAGAUCCUAUGUCAGACUUAGAAGAAGCCAACAAAAAGUCAGCUUUAAUCUCAAGACGACACUACUAAAAAAAUGAAAAAAUCGACCACCAAAAACCGCUCACAAAAUGUGGUCAGAAAAAACCGACCACAAGUGGUUGGUUUUUUAUUUUUUAUUUUUUAAAAAAUUUUAUUAAAAAAAGCGACCACAUGUGGUCGGUUUUUAUUAUAAAAUAUCAAAAUAAAUAUUCCAAUAAUUUUUAUUUUAAUUAUUAUAUCUUUUAAAAAUUAAAAUUUAAAAAAAUAACAAAACCAACCAUAAGUGGUCGGUUGGUUUAAAAAAAA
Molecule: long non-coding RNA, 4213 nt
Filed under: Capsicum annuum
Lineage: Eukaryota; Viridiplantae; Streptophyta; Magnoliopsida; Solanales; Solanaceae
Description: long non-coding RNA (CANN_LNC021714)
Source: RNAcentral